AGGCGUUAAUUGGGUCUAGGGGUAAUCGAAAUUCAUGGACAAUAUUUUUGGGGCUAAAGGUUCAAACAAUAUUGUAAUUCUUACUUCUUUGAGCAUAUUGUAUGAUAUGAAUGCAUAACACCAUUAAAGGCAAUUAUGUCAGUUUGAUCGAGAGAAGUUAUGGAUGCAAUUAAA
Long non-coding RNA from Ipomoea nil (Japanese morning glory), 174 nucleotides. RefSeq lists it as uncharacterized. The record is from RefSeq and is a predicted model, not a curated record. NCBI's taxonomy places the organism in Eukaryota, Viridiplantae, Streptophyta, Magnoliopsida, Solanales, Convolvulaceae. The transcript is spliced from 3 exons.